Molecule: ribosomal RNA, 387 nt
Filed under: Enterobacter cloacae subsp. cloacae
Lineage: Bacteria; Pseudomonadati; Pseudomonadota; Gammaproteobacteria; Enterobacterales; Enterobacteriaceae
Description: bacterial LSU rRNA
Rfam family: Bacterial large subunit ribosomal RNA
Source: RNAcentral
GUCCCAAGGGUAUGGCUGUUCGCCAUUUAAAGUGGUACGCGAGCUGGGUUUAGAACGUCGUGAGACAGUUCGGUCCCUAUCUGCCGUGGGCGCUGGAGAAUUGAGGGGGGCUGCUCCUAGUACGAGAGGACCGGAGUGGACGCAUCACUGGUGUUCGGGUUGUCAUGCCAAUGGCACUGCCCGGUAGCUAAAUGCGGAAGAGAUAAGUGCUGAAAGCAUCUAAGCACGAAACUUGCCCCGAGAUGAGUUCUCCCUGAGACUUUAAGUCUCCUGAAGGAACGUUGAAGACGACGACGUUGAUAGGUCGGGUGUGUAAGCGCAGCGAUGCGUUGAGCUAACCGAUACUAAUGAACCGUGAGGCUUAACCUUACAACGCCGAAGGUGUUU